CAAUAGCGUAUAUUAAAGUUGUUGCAGUUAAAAAGCUCGUAGUUGGACUUCUGAUUCGAAAGAUCGGUCCGCCGCAAGGCGAGCACUGAUUCUUCGAGUCUUCCUCUCGUAGUUGUUUGGCGCACUUGAUUGGGUGCCAGAUGAAUAUGGGACCUUUACUUUGAAAAAAUUAGAGUGUUCAAAGCAGGCAAUCGCUUGAAUACAUUAGCAUGGAAUAAUAGAAUAGGACUUCGGUACUAUUUUGUUGGUUUCUAGGACCGAAGUAAUGAUUAAUAGGGACAGUUGGGGGCAUUCAUAUUCCAUUGUCAGAGGUGAAAUUCUUGGAUUAACGGAAGAUGAACUACUGCGAAAGCAUCUGCCAAGGAUGUUUUCAUUGAUCAAGAACGAAAGUUAGGGGAUCGAAGACGAUUAGAUACCAU
This 419-nucleotide ribosomal RNA is filed under the name uncultured eukaryote. RNAcentral describes it as "bacterial SSU rRNA". It matches the Rfam family "Eukaryotic small subunit ribosomal RNA", at positions 592 to 1018 of the family's 1831-position model. The record is from RNAcentral.